Molecule: ribosomal RNA, 404 nt
Filed under: Fusobacteriota bacterium
Lineage: Bacteria; Fusobacteriati; Fusobacteriota
Description: Fusobacteria bacterium partial 16S ribosomal RNA
Rfam family: Bacterial small subunit ribosomal RNA
Source: RNAcentral
GGGGGAAUAUUGCACAAUGGAGGGAACUCUGAUGCAGCGACGCCGCGUGAGUGAUGAAGGAAUUCGUUUCGUAAAACUCUGUUCUAUGGGAAGAAAAGGACUGUACCAUAGGAGAAAGCUCCGGCUAAAUACGUGCCAGCAGCCGCGGUAAUACGUAUGGAGCGAGCGUUGUCCGGAAUUAUUGGGCGUAAAGGGUGCGCAGGCGGCUUUACAAGUUGGAUGUGAAAUAUUGUGGCUCAACCACAAACGUGCAUCCAAAACUGCAAAGCUUGAGUUAAGGAGAGGUAAGUGGAAUUCCUGGUGUAGCGGUGGAAUGCGUAGAUAUCAGGAGGAAUACCGGUGGCGAAGGCGACUUACUGGACUUAAACUGACGCUCGGGCACGAAAGCGUGGGGAACAAACAGG